Molecule: long non-coding RNA, 970 nt
Organism: Cyprinus carpio (common carp)
Lineage: Eukaryota; Metazoa; Chordata; Actinopteri; Cypriniformes; Cyprinidae
Gene: cb22h6orf89
Exons: 4
Source: RefSeq, a predicted model, not a curated record
AUCUGGAGCAGUUCUCGCAGACGCUCAGAGAAACACCGGCCAACUUCACCCUGCUCUGGAGUUUCUCGUCUGAGUCCCAGAGAGAACGCUUCUCCAGGGCUGUUUCCUGACACUGAGCUCUGCCCUCUGCUGGAGAACACAGGCACAAACACUGCAGCACUGCCAGCUGACCGACAGCACCAGCACACAACACACGAGAGUGCAGGUGUGGGGUUGGCUGGUGGUGGCUGAAGGGUCUCCGUGGGUUCGUGUUGUUCCCGUCCAGCGAUGCCAAACCCACUGCCGCUCCUUCAGUCUGUGGCUGUGAGCCGGGGGACAUGGUGUUGGCGGAUCCGCGCUUCUGGCUGCUGGAGCUCUUCCCGUCUGGAGCUCAGAGAGUGCUGUGUGACGGCCCCUGUGCUCUGAGACUCUGACCACGCCGAGCCUCACACCUCUCCAGGAAGUGACAUCAGCACUCAGACGCUGGUGUUUCUGGGGUCUUCGGCUCCGGAGAUUGGUCUCUGAUCCUCGCGGCCAGACGCUCGGGAACACGUUCCACUUCAGAGAAACUGUAAUUUUGAUGAAAGAAAAUCAAACCUAUUUUAAUACAUUUUGACAGUCUUUUCAUGACCAUUGAGUGCAUUUCGUCUACAAUUACUGGGAUGCCAAAAAAAACAGAAAAAUCUCAUUACUGUACACAAAUAAAUUCUCAUUACCGUUACAAUACAAUUAAAUUAAUGUUAAUAUAUAAAGUCAACUGUAAAUUAUUUUAACAUUUUAUGGUAGUAUUUGUUGUACUGACUAAAUUUAAAUAAGAAUAUUAUUUCUGUAAUACAGCGCUGAGAACAAGAAUUUUUGGUGGAAUUUUUUUUUUGUGUUAUGGUAUAAAAAAAAAGGUGUAACGUAAUGAGCAUAAAUAUAACUGAUAUAAUGAAAACAAGAAUGAGAUUUAUUAUAAUUUUUUUAAAACAUUUUCCCAUAUUAUUGUAAA